GUGUUCACUUCAGCAGCACAUAUACUAAAAUUAGAACGACACAGAGAAGAUUAGCCUGGCCCCUGUGUGAGGAUGACACGCAAAUUCGUGAAGCAUUCUAUAUUUCU
Myodes glareolus (Bank vole) is the source of this 107-nucleotide small nuclear RNA. The record is from RefSeq and is a predicted model, not a curated record. NCBI's taxonomy places the organism in Eukaryota, Metazoa, Chordata, Mammalia, Rodentia, Cricetidae.